AGAGAGAGAGAUGGGGUUUUGGGUGUAUUAGAAGAAGAAGAAGAAGUAUUUAGUUGAGAAUAAAAUAGGAGUUAGUAAGUAACUGGUGGUGAUGGAAGGUGGUGGUGGUGCUUUUGGUGGAGGUAUAUACUAAUAGGAUUUGGCUCACCCAAAAUUAAUUUAUUAUUAGAAACUAACAAAAUUAACUUUCCUUAAAAAAAAACUAUUUUUUUUUUUAAGGAAAAUUAACUUAUUAUUAUUUAUUAGUAUUUUUUUACUUGUAAUAAUUUUUUUUUUUACGAAUACUAAUAAUUUUAUGUUAUCCGUAUAUUAUCUAACAAUAAAAUAGUAGUAAAAAACCAAUAAUGAUUGUAUGAAAAAAUUUAGUUGCAGUUGGAAAACAUACCUUAUGUGCCCCACAAAUUCCUGACGAAGAUUAAUCAUUGUUAACGGUGGUAAAAACUUCGUAGUAAGAUCAUGGUAACAAAAAAAAUUAAUUGUAAAAAAGAUUAAAAAGUAAAUAAAAUUAUGUUACAGUGUAAAUGUUUUUUGGUUGAUAGUUGUCACGACCUUGUUGAAGAGGUUGAAGUUGAAACUCCACAUUUUUUACAUCUCCAAGUUGAAAAUGUGCGAGUUAAAUCAUUAGACAACUUAAUAAAAAAU
This 642-nucleotide long non-coding RNA is filed under the name Trifolium pratense (red clover). RNAcentral's name for it is "long non-coding RNA (TPRA_LNC012542)". The record is from RNAcentral. Lineage: Eukaryota; Viridiplantae; Streptophyta; Magnoliopsida; Fabales; Fabaceae.